Molecule: ribosomal RNA, 253 nt
Filed under: uncultured bacterium
Lineage: Bacteria
Description: partial 16S ribosomal RNA
Rfam family: Bacterial small subunit ribosomal RNA
Source: RNAcentral
UACGUAGGGGGCUAGCGUUGUCCGGAAUCAUUGGGCGUAAAGCGCGUGUAGGCGGCCAGAAAAGUCCGCUGUGAAAACUCGAGGCUCAACUUCGAGCUGUCGGUGGAAACUUUCUGGCUAGAGUCCGGAAGAGGAGAAUGGAAUUCCUGGUGUAGCGGUGAAAUGCGCAGAUAUCAGGAAGAACACCCGUGGCGAAGGCGGUUCUCUGGGACGGUACUGACGCUGAGACGCGAAAGCGUGGGGAGCGAACAGG